Non-coding RNA from Paramuricea clavata, 115 nucleotides. NCBI's taxonomy places the organism in Eukaryota, Metazoa, Cnidaria, Anthozoa, Malacalcyonacea, Plexauridae. The record is from the annotation of a GenBank genome assembly.
UCCUGUAGUAGUGGGCUAGUAUUCCUGUAGUAGCGGGCUAGUAUUCCUGUAGUAGUGCCACUACUACAGGAAUACUAGCCCGCUACUACAGGAAUACUAGCCCACUACUACAGGA